This 226-nucleotide long non-coding RNA is filed under the name Fukomys damarensis (Damara mole-rat). Its description in RNAcentral is "lncRNA (ENSFDAG00000032482.1)". The record is from RNAcentral. Lineage: Eukaryota; Metazoa; Chordata; Mammalia; Rodentia; Bathyergidae.
UUCUCCUUUAUUUUCAGAACAAUUUCGCACCUCCCUCCUCUGCACAAACUUCCAGCAGAAGUUUCUACUGGAAUUGACAGUAAGGGGUAUGGGGCCAGCCUCCUGGAGAGACCAGAAAGCAACAGAAGUUUCAGGACAGAACUGGCCACAUGAUCAGACACCCCAGUGACCACAGGUAAUCUCCACCCCCAGUUCUGGAAGCCUCAGCCCCAGGCACCCAGGCUAU